Molecule: transfer RNA, 87 nt
Filed under: Blastocatellia bacterium
Lineage: Bacteria; Pseudomonadati; Acidobacteriota; Blastocatellia
Description: tRNA-Ser
Rfam family: tRNA
About the family: Transfer RNA (tRNA) molecules are approximately 80 nucleotides in length. Their secondary structure includes four short double-helical elements and three loops (D, anti-codon, and T loops).
Source: RNAcentral
GGAGAGGUCGCAUAAUGGUAGUGCACCGCGUUGGAAGCGCGGCGGGUCUAAUGGCCUGUGCGGGUUCGAAUCCCGCCCUCUCCGCCA